CUCCAGUGUUGCCAGAUCCGUUCUUGCAAUUAAUUUAAUCAACCUCUUCCCCACAACAGCAGCUCAAACAGAUCGAUCGGGCAAGAAUGUAGUGACUAGCAAAUAAAAGAUGACUUCAAUUUGUCUAAAAAAAUAGCAAAUAAAUGAUGCAUGACUACUACUGAUAUUUCUGCACAGUUACUUCCAAGUAAAAUGAAGAAGCUUGUCAGCAAGAGCUGGGAGGAGUCGAGGCUGCUAUGGCAGGUCGCCUUCCCAGCGAUCCUCACCGAGGUGUUCCAGUUCUCCAUCGGGUUCGUCACCACCGGUUUCGUCGGGCACCUCGGCGAAGUCGAGCUCGCCGCCGUCACCGUCGUGGAGAACAUCAUAGAGCUCUUCGCCUUCGGAGUCCUGUUCGGCAUCGGGAGCGCGCUGGACACGCUGUGCGGCCAGGCCGUCGGCGCCGGGCAGCUCGACAUGCUGGGCAUCUACACCCAGCAGUCGUGGCUCGUCUGCGGCGCCACGGCGGUGGCGCUGACGCCGGCGUACGCCUUCACCUCGCCGAUCCUGAGGUCCCUCCUCCGUCAGCCCGCCGACGUGUCGGCCGCCGCCGGGCCGUACGCCCGGUGGGCGAUCCCGCGGCUGUUCGCCCACGCGGCGAACUACCCGCUCCUCAAGUUCUUCCAGACCCAGAGCAGGGUCUGGGCCGUGGCCGCCAUCUCCGGAGCGUCGCUCGCCGCUCACGUCGCGCUCACCUACGCCGCCGUGAGGCGGCUGGGGUUCGGCCUCCGCGGCGCCGCCGUUGCCGGGAACAUCUCCCACUGGCUCAUCGUCGUCGCGCAGCUCGUUUACAUGGUGCGAGGCCGGUUUCCGGACUCGUGGAAGGGCUUCUCGAUUCGUGCGUUCAGGAACCUUGGCGCAUUCGUCAAGCUGUCGCUGGCGUCUGCUGUCAUGAUCUGCUUGGAGGUUUGGUAUUACAUGGCACUGCUCAUUCUUGUGGGUCUCCUGAAGAAUGCUAAACUCCAGCUUGACAUCAUGUCAGUUUGCAUCAACUACGAGUUCUGGACCAUGAUGAUGGCACUGGGUUUCAGCACAGCAAUCAGCGUGAGGGUGUCGAAUGAGCUGGGUGCAAACAGGCCCAAGGUGGCACAAUUCUCGGUUGUUGUUGCAGCAGCAACAUCGGCCUUCGUCGGAGCAACUUUCAUGGCCGUCUUCCUCGUUUGGAGGACUAGCUUGCCCAAGUUCUUCAGCGACAGCGAAGAGGUGAUUCACGGAGCCUCGAGAUUAGGAUAUCUUCUCGCUGUGAGCGUCCUUUUAAGCAACAUCUGGCCUCUACUAUCAGAUUCCAGAGGCCCAGGUCAGAUUGCCUCCCGCACCCCAAUAUCAUCACCGGCGGCAGCAAUGUUAGCGGCAGCAGGAAGUCGCCGGCCACACCGGCCUCAAGAUCGAGCAAGGACGACGCUGCGCCGACCGUCGCCACCGACAGCUCCCGCCUGGCGGCAUUCCUGGCCUCGACAUCGCUCGAGCCCAAGCCGCGAGCUCACACUCCAAAGCAGCUGGCACAGGGGGUGCCUUCCUUGUCCCCCACCGCCGUCGCGACCCGGAGAUGAAGAACAGAGGAGGAGAGGGGAAGAAAGGAUGGAAGAAGGGGAUGACAUGUGGGGCCGUAUGUCAAUGAGUGUAGAGGGAGGAUCGUAGCAUGGGUAUUUUGGUCUAUACAGUAAUAUUGAUGUCUGCACGUGGGUCCGAGGUCGUCGGAGACGUGGAAAAUGGAAAGCAUCAGGUAGACGAAGAAUUGUAAUGGCAUAUCUCCAAAUAGGUGUGGCGGUAGGGUCAGGGUUGCAAGUGCUUGUGGCAUUCAUAAACGUUGGCACCUACUACUUGGUGGGAAUUCCAUUGGGGGUCCUGUUUGGCUUCAAGCUAAAACUCGGUACAAUGGGGAUAUGGAUGGGCAUGUUGACAGGGAC
Panicum virgatum (switchgrass) is the source of this 1943-nucleotide RNA transcript. It is a transcript of the gene named protein DETOXIFICATION 30-like, with no coding region annotated. Lineage: Eukaryota; Viridiplantae; Streptophyta; Magnoliopsida; Poales; Poaceae. The record is from RefSeq and is a predicted model, not a curated record. The transcript is spliced from 8 exons.